Molecule: ribosomal RNA, 253 nt
Filed under: uncultured bacterium
Lineage: Bacteria
Description: partial 16S ribosomal RNA
Rfam family: Bacterial small subunit ribosomal RNA
Source: RNAcentral
UACGUAGGUGGCAAGCGUUGUCCGGAUUUACUGGGCGUAAAGAGCGCGCAGGCGGUCGAAUAAGUCGAAUGUGAAAGCCCCCGGCUUAACUGGGGAGGGUCAUUCGAUACUGCUCGACUCGAAGGCAGGAGAGGGUAGUGGAAUUCCCGGUGUAGUGGUGAAAUGCGUAGAUAUUGGGAAGAACACCUGAGGCGAAGGCGGGUUGCUGGGCCGACACUGACGCUGAGGCGCGAAAGCCAGGGGAGCGAACGGG